Molecule: ribosomal RNA, 490 nt
Filed under: uncultured bacterium
Lineage: Bacteria
Description: partial 16S ribosomal RNA
Rfam family: Bacterial small subunit ribosomal RNA
Source: RNAcentral
AUUGAACGCUGGCGGCAGGCCUAACACAUGCAAGUCGAACGGUAACAGGAAGCAGCUUGCUGCUUCGCUGACGAGUGGCGGACGGGUGAGUAAUGUCUGGGAAGCUGCCUGAUGGAGGGGGAUAACUACUGGAAACGGUAGCUAAUACCGCAUAAUGUCGCAAGACCAAAGAGGGGGACCUUCGGGCCUCUUGCCAUCGGAUGUGCCCAGAUGGGAUUAGCUUGUUGGUGGGGUAACGGCUCACCAAGGCGACGAUCCCUAGCUGGUCUGAGAGGAUGACCAGCCACACUGGGACUGAGACACGGUCCAGACUCCUACGGGAGGCAGCAGUGGGGAAUAUUGCACAAUGGGCGCAAGCCUGAUGCAGCCAUGCCGCGUGUAUGAAGAAGGCCUUCGGGUUGUAAAGUACUUUCAGCGGGGAGGAAGGGAGUAAAGUUAAUACCUUUGCUCAUUGACGUUACCCGAAGAAGAAGCACCGGCUAACUCCGUG